This 549-nucleotide ribosomal RNA is filed under the name uncultured bacterium. Its description in RNAcentral is "partial 16S ribosomal RNA". It matches the Rfam family "Bacterial small subunit ribosomal RNA", at positions 355 to 914 of the family's 1533-position model. The record is from RNAcentral.
UGGGGAAUAUUGCACAAUGGGCGCAAGCCUGAUGCAGCGACGCCGCGUGAGGGAUGACGGCCUUCGGGUUGUAAACCUCUUUCAGCAGGGACGAAGCGCAAGUGACGGUACCUGCAGAAGAAGCACCGGCCAACUACGUGCCAGCAGCCGCGGUAAUACGUAGGGUGCGAGCGUUGUCCGGAAUUACUGGGCGUAAAGAGCUCGUAGGCGGUUUGUCGCGUCGUCUGUGAAAUUCUGCAGCUUAACUGCAGGCGUGCAGGCGAUACGGGCAGACUUGAGUACUACAGGGGAGACUGGAAUUCCUGGUGUAGCGGUGAAAUGCGCAGAUAUCAGGAGGAACACCGGUGGCGAAGGCGGGUCUCUGGGUAGUAACUGACGCUGAGGAGCGAAAGCGUGGGUAGCGAACAGGAUUAGAUACCCUGGUAGUCCACGCCGUAAACGGUGGGUACUAGGUGUGGGUUCCAUUUCACGGGAUCCGUGCCGUAGCUAACGCAUUAAGUACCCCGCCUGGGGAGUACGGCCGCAAGGCUAAAACUUAAAGGAAUUGAC